UGAAUUGCAGAAUCCCGUGAACCAUCGAGUCUUUGAACGCAAGUUGCGCCUGAAGCCAUUAGGCUGAGGGCACGUCUGCCUGGGCGUCAUGCAUCGCGUCACCCCUCCCCCAAUUCUGCUGGGUGGGGUG
This 130-nucleotide ribosomal RNA is filed under the name Cynoglossum australe. RNAcentral describes it as "5.8S ribosomal RNA". The stretch from base 1 to 89 matches the Rfam family "5.8S ribosomal RNA", at positions 68 to 154 of the family's 154-position model. From Rfam's summary of the family: 5.8S ribosomal RNA (5.8S rRNA) is a component of the large subunit of the eukaryotic ribosome. Lineage: Eukaryota; Viridiplantae; Streptophyta; Magnoliopsida; Boraginales; Boraginaceae. The record is from RNAcentral.